This 253-nucleotide ribosomal RNA is filed under the name uncultured bacterium. Its description in RNAcentral is "partial 16S ribosomal RNA". It matches the Rfam family "Bacterial small subunit ribosomal RNA", at positions 524 to 776 of the family's 1533-position model. The record is from RNAcentral.
UACGGAGGGUGCGAGCGUUGUCCGGAAUCACUGGGCGUAAAGGGCGCGUAGGUGGCUUGGUAAGCGUGUGGUGAAAGCUCGGGGCUCAACCCCGAGUCGGCCAUGCGAACUGCCGAGCUUGAGCACUGUAGAGGCAGACGGAAUUCCGGGUGUAGCGGUGGAAUGCGUAGAGAUCCGGAAGAAUACCAGUGGCGAAGGCGGUCUGCUGGGCAGUUGCUGACACUGAGGCGCGACAGCGUGGGGAGCAAACAGG